Molecule: unclassified non-coding RNA, 250 nt
Filed under: Phomopsis sp.
Lineage: Eukaryota; Fungi; Ascomycota; Sordariomycetes; Diaporthales; Diaporthaceae
Description: partial contains 5.8S ribosomal RNA, internal transcribed spacer 2, and large subunit ribosomal RNA
Source: RNAcentral
CGCACAUUGCGCCCCCUGGUAUUCCGGGGGGCAUGCCUGUUCGAGCGUCAUUUCAACCCUCAAGCCUGGCUUGGUGAUGGGGCACUACUUCCUCACGGGAGUAGGCCCUGAAAUUCAGUGGCGAGCUCGCCAGGACCCCGAGCGUAGUAGUUAUAUCUCGCUUUGGAAGGCCCUGGCGGUGCCCUGCCGUUAAACCCCCAACUUCUGAAAAUUUGACCUCGGAUCAGGUAGGAAUACCCGCUGAACUUAA